Molecule: unclassified non-coding RNA, 683 nt
Filed under: Hevea brasiliensis (rubber tree)
Lineage: Eukaryota; Viridiplantae; Streptophyta; Magnoliopsida; Malpighiales; Euphorbiaceae
Source: RNAcentral
AUUAAAAUGAAAAAUUUAAGAUUAAUGGGUGGGUAUGAGAGUGGGAGGAGGCUACUCCUUUGACAACUUCAGAAAAUCUAGUCCAGGAGAAUCUGGAGUAAUUCAGCUUAUUCUUUUUAUUUUCCAUCUUCUUAGAAGCCUAUAAGAAAGCCUCAUGUAAAUAUUAUUAAACUUUCAUGACUUGCUAGUUGCUAAUAGAUGCAAACCUUAGAACUAAACAUUUAUUGUUAACUAAACAUCAUAUUUAAUGAUUCAAAUUGAAUUUGACUGACAUAUUAUAUAGCUCCUUAUAGAUGACAUUUAGUGACUCAAUUGAUAAACUAAAUCACAAAACAAAGCCCAUCUCCUUAAUAAAAUAAUUAUCUAAAUUUCAAAUACUUGAUUCUACCAUUUUUUGGCGUAUUAUGAAUUUGUAUUCAUUGUGGAAGCAUUAGAGGGUUUAUAUCGAAUACUUCAACAUCUACAAGAGUUGCUCCUCGUUUGUUGUCUCUUCCUUCUUUGCUUGGAAAGUUACUAAAAAGAGGAUUCUGACUAUUGAUGAUAUCUGGAUAAGAAAAUUUGGGUCAAUUGGAUGCUUCUAUAAAGCGCAGCUGAAUUGUUCUUCAUUUGCUUCUGCAUUGUAAGUGAACUAGGAAGCUGUGCAAAUAUGUCCUGGUGUUUAUAAUUCGCUGGGUAUGAGGAAA